RNAcentral lists this ribosomal RNA (1392 nucleotides) under Streptomyces azureus. RNAcentral's name for it is "bacterial LSU rRNA". It matches the Rfam family "Bacterial large subunit ribosomal RNA", at positions 1556 to 2925 of the family's 2925-position model. The record is from RNAcentral. Lineage: Bacteria; Bacillati; Actinomycetota; Actinomycetes; Kitasatosporales; Streptomycetaceae.
CUGAGACCUGAUGCCGAGCCGAUUGUGGUGAAGUGGAUGAUCCUAUGCUGUCGAGAAAAGCCUCUAGCGAGUUUCAUGGCGGCCCGUACCCUAAACCGACUCAGGUGGUCAGGUAGAGAAUACCGAGGCGUUCGGGUGAACUAUGGUUAAGGAACUCGGCAAAAUGCCCCCGUAACUUCGGGAGAAGGGGGGCCACAUCUGGUGAGAACACUUGCUGUUCGAGCUGGGGGUGGCCGCAGAGACCAGCGAGAAGCGACUGUUUACUAAAAACACAGGUCCGUGCGAAGCCGUAAGGCGAUGUAUACGGACUGACGCCUGCCCGGUGCUGGAACGUUAAGGGGACCGGUUAGUCACUCUUCGGGGUGGCGAAGCUGAGAACUUAAGCGCCAGUAAACGGCGGUGGUAACUAUAACCAUCCUAAGGUAGCGAAAUUCCUUGUCGGGUAAGUUCCGACCUGCACGAAUGGCGUAACGACUUCUCGACUGUCUCAACCAUAGGCCCGGUGAAAUUGCACUACGAGUAAAGAUGCUCGUUUCGCGCAGCAGGACGGAAAGACCCCGGGACCUUUACUACAGUUUGAUAUUGGUGUUCGGUUCGGCUUGUGUAGGAUAGCUGGGAGACUGUGAAGCGCUAACGCCAGUUAGUGUGGAGUCGUCGUUGAAAUACCAGUCUGGUCGUGCUGGAUGUCUAACCUGGGUCCGUGAUCCGGAUCAGGGACAGUGUCUGAUGGGUAGUUUAACUGGGGCGGUUGCCUCCUAAAGAGUAACGGAGGCGCCCAAAGGUUCCCUCAGCCUGGUUGGCAAUCAGGUGUUGAGUGUAAGUGCACAAGGGAGCUUGACUGUGAGACCGACGGGUCGAGCAGGGACGAAAGUCGGGACUAGUGAUCCGGCGGUGGCUUGUGGAAGCGCCGUCGCUCAACGGAUAAAAGGUACCCCGGGGAUAACAGGCUGAUCUUCCCCAAGAGUCCAUAUCGACGGGAUGGUUUGGCACCUCGAUGUCGGCUCGUCGCAUCCUGGGGCUGGAGUCGGUCCCAAGGGUUGGGCUGUUCGCCCAUUAAAGCGGUACGCGAGCUGGGUUUAGAACGUCGUGAGACAGUUCGGUCCCUAUCCGCUGUGCGCGUAGGAGUCUUGAGAAGGGCUGUCCCUAGUACGAGAGGACCGGGACGGACGAACCUCUGGUGUGCCAGUUGUUCUGCCAAGGGCAUGGCUGGUUGGCUACGUUCGGGAGGGAUAACCGCUGAAAGCAUCUAAGCGGGAAGCCUGCUUCGAGAUGAGGACUCCCACCUCCUAGAGAGGGUAAGGCUCCCAGUAGACGACUGGGUUGAUAGGCCGGAUAUGGAAGCACGGUAACGUGUGGAGUUGACCGGUACUAAUAGGCCGAGGGCUUGUCCUC